ACCAGGUCAAGACAUGGGCGUGAUUGACAGGCUAAUGACUUUUCUCGAUUCCAUGGAUGGUGGUGCAUGGUCGCACUUAGUUGGUGCAGUGAUUUGUCAGGUUUAUUCCGGUAACGAACGAGACCUCGGCCUUGUAAAUAGCUAUGCUGCUUACAGGGACAUUGGCGGCUACGCCAAGGAAGCUCGAGGCAAUUGCAGAUCUGGAAUGCCCUUAGAUGUCCUGGGUCGCACGCGUGCUACAAUGACGCCACGAACGAGCUUGCGUGAUGAAAGUUACGCAUAAUCAGCAGUCGGCGUCUUAAGGGAUAGUCUCUUGUAACUGUGGGACUCCAACUAGGAAUGUCUCGUAAGCACAGGUCAACAUCUUGUGUUGAUUACGUCCCUGCUCUUUGUACACACCGCCCGUCGCUCCUACCGAUCGAGUGUUUAGGUGAAUUUGAUGGACGUAAGGAAGUCAAAUAAACCUGAGCACUAGAGAAGAGAAGUCGAACAGACCACAC
Molecule: ribosomal RNA, 500 nt
Filed under: uncultured Myrionecta
Lineage: Eukaryota; Ciliophora; Litostomatea; Cyclotrichida; Mesodiniidae
Description: bacterial SSU rRNA
Rfam family: Eukaryotic small subunit ribosomal RNA
Source: RNAcentral